This 497-nucleotide ribosomal RNA is filed under the name uncultured bacterium. Its description in RNAcentral is "partial 16S ribosomal RNA". It matches the Rfam family "Bacterial small subunit ribosomal RNA", at positions 28 to 507 of the family's 1533-position model. The record is from RNAcentral.
GAUGAACGCUGGCGGCGUGCCUAAUACAUGCAAGUCGAGCGAACGGACGAGAAGCUUGCUUCUCUGAUGUUAGCGGCGGACGGGUGAGUAACACGUGGAUAACCUACCUAUAAGACUGGGAUAACUUCGGGAAACCGGAGCUAAUACCGGAUGAUAUUUUGAACCGCAUGGUUCAAAAGUGAAAGACGGUCUUGCUGUCACUUAUAGAUGGAUCCGCGCUGCAUUAGCUAGUUGGUAAGGUAACGGCUUACCAAGGCAACGAUGCAUAGCCGACCUGAGAGGGUGAUCGGCCACACGGGAACUGAGACACGGUCCAGACUCCUACGGGAGGCAGCAGUAGGGAAUCUUCUGCAAUGGGCGAAAGCCUGACGGAGCAACGCCGCGUGAGUGAUGAAGGUCUUCGGAUCGUAAAACUCUGUUAUUAGGGAAGAACAUAUGUGUAAGUAACUGUGCACAUCUUGACGGUACCUAAUCAGAAAGCCACGGCUAACUACGUG